Molecule: small RNA, 46 nt
Filed under: Urbifossiella limnaea
Lineage: Bacteria; Pseudomonadati; Planctomycetota; Planctomycetia; Gemmatales; Gemmataceae
Description: Acido-Lenti-1 RNA
Rfam family: Acido-Lenti-1 RNA
Source: Rfam by way of RNAcentral
CCCAGGGCUUGCGCCCUGGGCUAUUGGCUACCGCCCCUUCGGGGCU